AUUGAACGCUGGCGGCAUGCUUUACACAUGCGAGUCGAACGGUAACAGGCCUUCGGGUGCUGACGAGUGGCGAACGGGUGAGUAAUGCAUCGGAACGUGCCCAGAGGUGGGGGAUAACGCAGCGAAAGCUGUGCUAAUACCGCAUGUGAUCUGAGGAUGAAAGCGGGGGACCGAGCAGCAAUGUUUGGCCUCGCGCCUUUGGAGCGGCCGAUGUCGGAUUAGCUAGUUGGUGGGGUAAAGGCCUACCAAGGCGACGAUCCGUAGCUGGUCUGAGAGGACGACCAGCCACACUGGGACUGAGACACGGCCCAGACUCCUACGGGAGGCAGCAGUGGGGAAUUUUGGACAAUGGGCGCAAGCCUGAUCCAGCAAUGCCGCGUGCGGGAAGAAGGCCUUCGGGUUGUAAACCGCUUUUGGCAGGAACGAAACGGUGUCCGCUAAUACCGGGCGCUAAUGACGGUACCUGCAGAAUAAGCACCGGCUAACUACGUG
This 492-nucleotide ribosomal RNA is filed under the name uncultured bacterium. RNAcentral's name for it is "partial 16S ribosomal RNA". It matches the Rfam family "Bacterial small subunit ribosomal RNA", at positions 29 to 507 of the family's 1533-position model. The record is from RNAcentral.